CCUUAAAAAGCUUACACUGAAUGCGUAUCUGCCACCAUAGUACAGUUGUAGCGGGCUUGCUAUAGUAAGAAGUGUCAAACGAAAAUAACUGUCAAGCUUCUCCUUAACUGAUGGAACUGCGGACGUCCUAUAGCUAAUAGGCUGCAAUUUAUGCACUGACAGAGCCGCCUGCGUUGGAGAACCGUAAACAAUUACCACAGACUGAAGCACGCAUCGAAAACAACUCUCCCCGUUGCCGCAUCUUAAGAGGCGUACACUGGCCAAGCUCCGGAUCGAAUUCUUCGUAAAGACGGACGAAGACAUUAGCGGGCAUGCUGUUCACGGAAUUGUUUGCCUUCUUCGUCAUUGCAAUGCCUACGCUCAGUGUAGUAGGCCAAGCGCCGGCGCAAGACGAAAUCAAGUCACUUCCAGGACUCGCUAUAAAGCCUCGUUUCAAGCAGUACUCGGGAUUCCUCAAUGCAGGCUCAAAUCGACGGCUGCAUUACUGGUUUGCAGCGAGCCAGACGUCGAAGGCGUCUAUCGAUCCGGUUGUCAUCUGGGUCAACGCAGGGCCCGAAUCUUGCAGUUCGAUGCUGACCCUGAUGAUGGAACACGGCCCGUUCCGGCCAACGGACAACGGGCAGCGCCUCACGCCUAACGACUUCAGUUGGA
Molecule: non-coding RNA, 651 nt
Organism: Dermacentor albipictus
Lineage: Eukaryota; Metazoa; Arthropoda; Arachnida; Ixodida; Ixodidae
Source: RefSeq, a predicted model, not a curated record